Molecule: ribosomal RNA, 774 nt
Filed under: uncultured Neocallimastigales
Lineage: Eukaryota; Fungi; Neocallimastigomycota; Neocallimastigomycetes; Neocallimastigales
Description: partial large subunit ribosomal RNA
Rfam family: Eukaryotic large subunit ribosomal RNA
Source: RNAcentral
GAGACUCUGUGCGCGUGCAUAUCAAUAAGCGGAGGAAAAGAAACUAACAAGGAUUCCCUUAGUAACGGCGAGUGAAGCGGGAAGAGCUCAAAUUUGAAAUCUUCAAGGUUUUACCUUGACGAAUUGUAGUUUAAAGAAGUGUUUUCUGUUGAAGUUUUGGUAAAAGUUCUUUGGAAUAGGACAUCAUAGAGGGUGAGAAUCCCGUAUUUGACCAUUAUUUUCAGCUGUGUGAUACACUUUCAAAGAGUCGGAUUGUUUGGGAAUGCAGUCCAAAAUGGGUGGUAAAUUUCAUCUAAAGCUAAAUAUUGGCGAGAGACCGAUAGCGAACAAGUACCGUGAGGGAAAGAUGAAAAGAACUUUGAAAAGAGAGUUAAACAGUACGUGAAAUUGUCACAAGGGAAGCGUUUGACACCAGUGUUGUUUUCUCGAAAAUCAAUUAAAAAGAGUUGGAUUUUGUGUUGUAUUGACCUUAACAGCUUUCUUCACUCUUUUCCUGCUUUUUUUAAUGCACUUUUCGUUUAACAAGUCAACAUCAGUUUCUUUUGUUGUAAAAGGGUCAUUGGAAGGUGGCUUUCUUUUCGGAGAAAGUGUUUAUAGCCUUUGAUCUCUGCAAUCGGAGAGACUGAGGUCUGCAGCGUAGAUCCUUCGGGGUUAGAUAUAUUUGUGCUAAGUUAUAACUUUUCAUAGACAACUUGUUGACUAUGUUUAGUCAUGUAGCUUACUCGCUUAUGCUAUUUUACCUACGCUUAGGAUGUUGAAUCUGUGCGAGACUAC